This 1348-nucleotide ribosomal RNA is filed under the name Ponticoccus litoralis. RNAcentral's name for it is "bacterial SSU rRNA". It matches the Rfam family "Bacterial small subunit ribosomal RNA". The record is from RNAcentral. Lineage: Bacteria; Pseudomonadati; Pseudomonadota; Alphaproteobacteria; Rhodobacterales; Roseobacteraceae.
UACCAUGCAGUCGAGCGCUCUCUUCGGAGGGAGCGGCGGACGGGUGAGUAACGCGUGGGAAUAUGCCCUUCUCUGCGGAAUAGCCACUGGAAACGGUGAGUAAUACCGCAUACGCCCUUCGGGGGAAAGAUUUAUCGGAGAAGGAUUAGCCCGCGUUAGAUUAGGUAGUUGGUGGGGUAAUGGCCUACCAAGCCUACGAUCUAUAGCUGGUUUUAGAGGAUGAUCAGCCACACUGGGACUGAGACACUGGCCCAGACUCCUACGGGAGGCAGCAGUGAGGAAUCUUAGACAAUGGGCGCAGAGCCUGAUCCUAGCCAUGCCGCGUGUGUGAAUGAAGGCCUUAGGGUCGUAAAGCACUUUCGCCCAGAGAAUGAUAAUGACAGUAUUCUGGUAAAGAAACCCCGGCUAACUCCGUGCCAGCAGUCCGCGGGUAAUACCGGAGGGGGUUCAGCGUUGUUCGGGAAUUACUGGGCGUAAAGCGCACCGUAGGCGGAUCAGGAAAGUUGGGGGUGAAAUCCCAGGGCUCAACCCUGGAACUGCCUCCAAAACUCCUUGGUCUUGAGUUCGAGAGAGGUGAGUGGAAUUUCCGAGUGUAGAGGUGAAAUUCGUAGAUAUUCGGAGGAACACCAGUGGCGAAGGCGGCUCACUGGCUCGAUACUGACGCUGAGGUGCGAAAGUGUGGGGAGCAAACAGGAUUAGAUACCCUGGUAGUCCACACCGUAAACGAUGAAUGCCAGUCGUCGGCAAGCAUGCUUGUCGGUGACACACCUAACGGAUUAAGCAUUCCGCCUGGGGAGUACCGGUCGCAAGAUUAAAACUCAAAGGAAAUUGACGGGGGCCCGCACAAAGCGGUGGAGCAUGUGGAUUUAAUUUCGGAAGCAACGCGCAGAACCUUUACCAACCCUUGACAUCCUGGUGCUACAUCCAGAGAUGGAUGGUUCCCUUCGGGGACGCAGUGACAGGUGCUGCAUGGCUGUCGUCAGCUCGUGUCGUGAGAAUGUUCGGUUAAGUUCCGGGCAACGAGCGCAACCCACAUCUUCAGUUGCCAGCAGUUCGGCGUGGGCACCUCUGGAGAAACUGCCCGUGAUAAGCGGGAGGAAGGUGUGGAUGACGUCAAGUCCUCAUGGCCCUUACGGGUCAUGGGCUACACACGUGCUACAAUGGUAUCUACAAUGGGUUAAUCCCCAAAAGAUAUCUCAGUUCGGAUUGUCGUCUGCAACUCGACGGCAUGAAGUCGGAAUCGCUAGUAAUCGCGUAACAGCAUGACGCGGUGAAUACGUUCCCGGGCCUUGUACACACCGCCCGUCACACCAUGGGAGUUGGUUCUACCUGACGGCCGUGCGCUAAC